This 2287-nucleotide long non-coding RNA is filed under the name Homo sapiens (human). RNAcentral's name for it is "HSALNT0352363". Lineage: Eukaryota; Metazoa; Chordata; Mammalia; Primates; Hominidae. The record is from RNAcentral.
UUCUGGUACUAUGUUAAACAACAGUGGUGACAGGGGGCAUCCUUAUCAUGUUCCAGAUCUUAGAGGAAAAGCUUUCCAUUUUUCCCCAUUCCAUAUGAUUCUAGCUGUGGGUGUCUUUCCUGUAGUUUUUAUUAUGUUGCGUGAAAGAAGAUUGCCACGGAGACAGAGAGCAGCAUGGUCAGUGUGGUAGGAGCCGGCCAUCAGCGAGAGCUGCUCCAUGCCUGGCUGCUGGGAGCUAGAGCCUGCGGCCCACUGGCUUGCCUCACUGUAGUUGGUGGUGGCAGUGACAGAGACUGCAGCAUGACCAGAGUGGCUUUUCUGGCUUUGCCCGCCCAGCUGCUCCAUGCCAGGAGGAGGAGGAGACACCUAGAGCCUGCAACACCACGGCUCACCUCGCUGCGGGUGGGUGGCAGUGACGGAGACUGCAGUGCGCCAGAGCGGUAGGAGAGUGGCCACGCUAGGAGGGCGGGCGGCUGCAGGCAGGGUUGGGAGUCAGGCUUACAGCGAUGGACGGGCUGCAGCAGUGGCCAGGUGGUAGGAGCCUUGUAGGGAGGGCUGGUGCAUUGGCAAUGGGCCUGGCUUUGCCCUGUGCCUGCCGUGGAUCUGGCCCUGUACUGCCCUGCCUUGCCCUGUACCUGCCCUACUGUUACCUGGACUCUCAGCCCUGUCCUGCUCUGGUCCCAUCCUGACCCUGUCUUGGCCCCGUGCUACCCUGUCCCUGCCCUGGUCUUGCCCUGGCACUGGCCCUGCCCUGAACCUGCACUGGCCUGACCUUGGCUCUGGCCCUGGCUCUGGCCCUGCCCCUUGUCCUGACCCUGGUCCUGUCAUGGCACUGGCCCUGCCAGUGGUCAUGGUCCUGCUCCUGUUCUGGCCCUGACCUGGCCUUGGAAAUGUCCUGGCUCUGCUUUGGCCCAUCCCUGCCCUGGCCCCACCAUGGGCCUUCCUGUUCUGCCCUCUCCUGGCACUGACCUGGCCCUGUCAUGGCCCAGUGGUGCCAUUGCCCUGCCUUACCCUGCGCUGGUUGUGCCUUGGCCCCGCUUGGUGCUGGCCGCUUCCUGGACCUGCCCUGGACCUGCCCUGACCCUGCCUUGGCUUUUGCCCUGCCCUCACUAUGGCCUGGCCCUGGCCCUGGCCCUAGCCCUGGUCCUGCCAUAUCCCUGACCCUGCCCUUAUCCAGGCCCUGCCCCUGCUGCUGCCCUGGCCCUGGCCUGGAACCUGGUCCUGUCAAGGACCUGCCCUGACUCUGCCAUGGCCCUGGCCCUGCUCUGCCUUGUUCCUGGCCCUGACCCAGACCCAGACCCUUUCCUGGCUCUGCACUGGUCUUUCCCUGGCCCUGAGCUGGCAGUGGUCUGCCCCUGGUCUUGCCAUCACCCUGCCCUGCUGUGCUCUGGAUGUGUCAUCACCCUGCCCUGGCUCUACUCUGCCUUUGACCCUGCCCUGGCCUUGCCUUGGCCCUCACCCUAGUCUUCGCUAGGCCCAGCACAGACCUGGCUCUGACCCUGGCCCUGGUCUUUGUCCUGCCAUAGCUUUGGCCCUGAAGUGGACUUGGAGGUGUCCUGGCCCCGGUGUAACAUGGCUCUGCAUUGGCCUGUCUCUGCCCUGCCCCUACCAUCGCCUUGCCCUGCUCUGCCCUGUCCCAGUACUGACCCGGCCACGCUAUUUCCCCGCCCUACCCUGCCUUGGCUGUGCCCUGGCUCGGUUCUGGCCCUGGCCCCGGCCCUGCCCUGGACAUGCUCUGACACUGCCUCAGCCUUGGCACUAGCCUGGCUCAUUCUUGGCAUCAGCCCUGCUCUCUCUGUGGACCGGCUCUUGUCCUGUCCUGCACUGGCCAUACCAUGCCUUGCCCUGCCCUGCCCUGACUCAGCCCUGACUCAGCCUUGGCCUUGGCAUUGCCCCUGGUCCUGCCAUAUUUCUUGCCCUGUCCCUACCCUAGCCUUGGCCCUGACCCUUACCUUGCUCUGGCCCUGCCCUUGCCCUAAUGCAGCCCCUGGCCCUGUCAUGACCCUGCCCUGGACCUGUCCUGGCCCUGGCCCUUCCCUGCUUGAGACCUUGCCCUGGUUCUCCCAUGGCCCUGACCCUGAAAUGCCUGGCCCUACCCUGGCCUUGCCCUGCUCUGGCCCUUGCCCUGACUCUGGUCCUGUCACUGACCUAGCCCCAGCCCUGUUGCUGGUCUUACCAUGGCCCAGACCCUGCCUUGGCCCUGCCCUGACACUGUCCUGGACCCUGGCUGUGCCAAGAACCUGCACUGUCCUUGCCCUUGUUUUGCUCCUGCCCCAAACCUGGUCCU